CCCUACGGGAGGCAGCAGUGAGGAAUAUUGGUCAAUGGGCGAGAGCCUGAACCAGCCAAGUCGCGUGAGGGAAGACGGUCCUAUGGAUUGUAAACCUCUUUUGCCGGGGAGCAAAAAGCGGUACGUGUACCGCAUCGAGAGUACCCGGAGAAAAAGCAUCGGCUAACUCCGUGCCAGCAGCCGCGGUAAUACGGAGGAUGCGAGUGUUAUCCGGAUUUAUUGGGUUUAAAGGGUGCGCAGGCGGCGAGUUAAGUCAGCGGUAAAAUUUCGGGGCUCAACCCCGACGAUCCGUUCAAACUGGCUUG
Molecule: ribosomal RNA, 305 nt
Filed under: uncultured bacterium
Lineage: Bacteria
Description: bacterial SSU rRNA
Rfam family: Bacterial small subunit ribosomal RNA
Source: RNAcentral